UACGUAGGGUGCGAGCGUUAAUCGGAAUUACUGGGCGUAAAGCGUGCGCAGGCGGUUCGUUGUGUCGGCGGUGAAAGCCCCGGGCUUAACCUGGGAAUGGCCGUCGAAACUGGCGAACUGGAGUGUGGCAGAGGGGGGUGGAAUUCCGCGUGUAGCAGUGAAAUGCGUAGAUAUCAGGAGGAAUACCGAUGGCGAAGGCAGGUCUCUGGGCUGACACUGACGCUCAUGCACGAAAGCGUGGGGAGCAAACAGG
This 253-nucleotide ribosomal RNA is filed under the name uncultured bacterium. RNAcentral describes it as "partial 16S ribosomal RNA". It matches the Rfam family "Bacterial small subunit ribosomal RNA", at positions 524 to 776 of the family's 1533-position model. The record is from RNAcentral.